GACGAACGCUGGCGGCGUGCCUAAUACAUGCAAGUAGAACGCUGAAGAGAGGAGCUUGCUCUUCUUGGAUGAGUUGCGAACGGGUGAGUAACGCGUAGGUAACCUGCCUUGUAGCGGGGGAUAACUAUUGGAAACGAUAGCUAAUACCGCAUAACAAUGGAUGACACAUGUCAUUUAUUUGAAAGGGGCAAUUGCUCCACUACAAGAUGGACCUGCGUUGUAUUAGCUAGUAGGUGAGGUAAUGGCUCACCUAGGCGACGAUACAUAGCCGACCUGAGAGGGUGAUCGGCCACACUGGGACUGAGACACGGCCCAGACUCCUACGGGAGGCAGCAGUAGGGAAUCUUCGGCAAUGGGGGCAACCCUGACCGAGCAACGCCGCGUGAGUGAAGAAGGGUGUCGGAUCGUAAAGUUCUGUUGUAAGUCAAGAACGGGUGUGAGAGUGGAAAGUUCACACUGUGACGGUAGCUUACCAGAAAGGGACGGCCAACUACGUG
This 497-nucleotide ribosomal RNA is filed under the name uncultured bacterium. RNAcentral describes it as "partial 16S ribosomal RNA". It matches the Rfam family "Bacterial small subunit ribosomal RNA", at positions 28 to 507 of the family's 1533-position model. The record is from RNAcentral.